This is a long non-coding RNA of Oncorhynchus nerka (sockeye salmon), 266 nucleotides long. RefSeq lists it as uncharacterized. The record is from RefSeq and is a predicted model, not a curated record. Lineage: Eukaryota; Metazoa; Chordata; Actinopteri; Salmoniformes; Salmonidae. The transcript has 2 exons.
CCUGUCCUGAGCCGCCAGAGUCUCCCGCCUGUCCUGAGCCGCCAGAGUCUCCCGCCUGUCCUGAGCCGCCAGAGUCUCCCGCCUGUCCUGAGCCGCCAGAGUCGGAGGAGGAGUAAGGAUCGGACCAAAGCGCAGCGUGAAACAUGUAUGGAGUCAGCAGAUGGAGACUUGCAAGAUGAUGUGAAGUCCAGUCUGACAGACGGGCUUGAUACUGAUGUCUUUACAUGGAGAGAGACCUGUCACUUUGCAUAAAAUAAUGUACUAAA